AUUGAACGCUGGCGGCAUGCUUUACACAUGCAAGUCGAACGGCAGCGCGGGCUUCGGCCUGGCGGCGAGUGGCGAACGGGUGAGUAAUACAUCGGAACGUGCCCAGUAGUGGGGGAUAGCUCGGCGAAAGCCGGAUUAAUACCGCAUACGACCUGAGGGUGAAAGCGGGGGAUCUUCGGACCUCGCGCUAUUGGAGCGGCCGAUGGCAGAUUAGCUAGUUGGUGGGGUAAAGGCCUACCAAGGCGACGAUCUGUAGCUGGUCUGAGAGGACGACCAGCCACACUGGGACUGAGACACGGCCCAGACUCCUACGGGAGGCAGCAGUGGGGAAUUUUGGACAAUGGGCGAAAGCCUGAUCCAGCAAUGCCGCGUGUGUGAUGAAGGCCUUCGGGUUGUAAAGCACUUUUGGCGGGAACGAAAAGGACUGUGCCAAUACCACGGUUCGAUGACGGUACCCGCAGAAUAAGCACCGGCUAACUAUGUG
RNAcentral lists this ribosomal RNA (484 nucleotides) under uncultured bacterium. RNAcentral's name for it is "partial 16S ribosomal RNA". It matches the Rfam family "Bacterial small subunit ribosomal RNA", at positions 29 to 507 of the family's 1533-position model. The record is from RNAcentral.